RNAcentral lists this ribosomal RNA (492 nucleotides) under uncultured bacterium. RNAcentral describes it as "partial 16S ribosomal RNA". It matches the Rfam family "Bacterial small subunit ribosomal RNA", at positions 28 to 507 of the family's 1533-position model. The record is from RNAcentral.
GAUGAACGCUGGCGGUGGGCCUAACACAUGCAAGUCGAACGACCACACGGUGAGCUUGUGCCCUUGACGGUGGCGGGGGACGGGCGAGUAACACGUGGAUAACCUACUUCUUUUUCGGGGAGGAUAUCGUGAAAACGCUGACAAUAAUGCAUAAUAUGUUGUACGGCUUGGUUCAGUAGUUAUUCGCGCUUUUCCUGUUACAUUGAGACGGUGCCGCAUUAGCUAGUUGGCAAGGUAAGGGCCCACCAAGGCGACGAUCCGUAGCUGGUCUGAGAGGAUGAUCAGCCACACUGGAACUGAGACACGGUCCAGACUCCUACGGGAGGCAGCAGUAGGGAAUCUUGCGCAAUGGGCGAAAGCCUGACCGAGCAACGCCGCGUGGGUGAUGAAGGUCUUCGGAUCGUAAAACCCUGUUAUUGGGGAAGAAAAAAAGUGGAAGAAAACACCCCCGUCUUGACGGUACCUAAUGAGAAAGCCCCGGCUAACUACGUG